Molecule: microRNA, 24 nt
Filed under: Homo sapiens (human)
Lineage: Eukaryota; Metazoa; Chordata; Mammalia; Primates; Hominidae
Description: hsa-miR-4763-3p
Source: miRBase by way of RNAcentral
AGGCAGGGGCUGGUGCUGGGCGGG